GACGAACCGUGCGAACGUUAUUCGGAAUCACUGGGCUUAAAGGGCGCGUAGGCGGGCUCACAAGUCAGGGGUGAAAUCCCACGGCCCAACCGUGGAAGUGCCUUUGAUACUGUGGGCCUCGAGGGGGAUAGGGGCGUGCGGAACUCAGGGUGGAGCGGUGAAAUGCGUAGAGAUUUGGAGGAACACCAGUGGCGAAGGCGACUUUCUGGUCUGUAACUGACACUGAGGCGCGAAAGCGUGGGGAGCGAACAGG
This 253-nucleotide ribosomal RNA is filed under the name uncultured bacterium. RNAcentral's name for it is "partial 16S ribosomal RNA". It matches the Rfam family "Bacterial small subunit ribosomal RNA", at positions 524 to 776 of the family's 1533-position model. The record is from RNAcentral.